This 120-nucleotide ribosomal RNA is filed under the name Tiamatella sp. (SeqCode). The record is from RNAcentral. Lineage: Archaea; Thermoproteati; Thermoproteota; Thermoprotei; Acidilobales; Acidilobaceae.
CGGCCCGGUCAUAGCGACCGGGAAACACCCGGACUCAUCUCGAACCCGGCAGUUAAGCCGGUCGCGUUGGGGUGCCCAGUAGGGUCCGAGAGGACCUGCAGGGGCCCCAAACCGGGACCG